Pseudonaja textilis is the source of this 4329-nucleotide long non-coding RNA. The record is from Ensembl. NCBI's taxonomy places the organism in Eukaryota, Metazoa, Chordata, Lepidosauria, Squamata, Elapidae.
UGCUACUUUUAAGCCUUAUUUUUUAAUAGAAUUUGCAGCAUCUUUAGCAUUUUCUACCUGUUACUGACAGAAUUCUUACUGGUUUACCUAUCUAAUCCUAGACAUGACUUUUCAUCAUAUAGAGUGCUAUAUCACUUGAGAUAAGGUAGGUGCUAUGCAUAAAUAAAAUUUUGACUGUGGCAAAAAUACGCAGAACGGAUGAAAAUCCAUAUGAAAUCUGCAUUUCUCCCAAACAUUCUAAGAGAGUAGGGAUAGGCACAGGGAUAGAAAAGAUCAGAGUAGAACAGAACUUUAUUUGGCCAAGUAUGAUUAGACACACAAGGAAUUUGUCUCGGUACAUAAGCUCUCGGUGUAUAUGCAAAACAACAGAGCAAUAAUAAUCAUAAUAAUGAUACCAAUAAAAGAAGGUAGUAGAAAAGAUGAGAAGGAUAAUAGUAGGAUCCAAUCUGGGUUGGUCACCAGGACCAGAGGUUUAGUUUUCUGAGCUUUCAACCUCAUGCUGGAGCCCAUCCACAGGAACUUCUCUCUACAUCUAUAAAAUCAUCUAUAUUUUUCUAAAAAAAUUACUAACCAGAUCUAACAAGAUUCUUUGGGAACAACAGUCCACGUAUGUUCUUAGCUCUUUCAUCUGUGAAUCUCAUUCCUAGGCAUUUUAAAAUCUUGAUCUCUUAAAAUAUCUUGGUUUUGCAUUAUUUACAAAACCUAAAACUUCAGUUUAAAAGAUAUAUUUUUUCUUCACUUCAUCAAAACUAUUCAUUUGUUGUUGUUUCUCCUCUUUUUGUUUCCUACUCAUAAAUUCAUAUUUUGGAUUGAUCUCUCAUUUUACUCUGUUUCAACAUUCAGAUCACUUCUUUUUUCACAAAGCAUACAGUUAGCAGUCAGGGCAUAUGGCAAUUAUCAUGAAAUGUUAAUUUCUAAAUUUCAAUAGGUCAAAGGAAUAUGGAUCUGUGGGGGACAUUACUCAUUCAGAGAAUUCAAGUUACUGUUAACAGUAGAUGCAAGCUUCACGGAUCAUGGUGCAGUCUGAGAAUGGUGGACUUUUUUCACCAUAUAGAAGUGUUCAGACUGGUUGUUCUUUCCGAUACAACUUUCACAAGCUUCAGGGCUAAGACUGCUGUUACUCACUCCUCCUUGCUUUGGCAUAAAAAGCUCGCUGAGGGUAUCUUAUUGCGGGUUUGCCUUAAGGUAGAUUAGAUUAAUUAUUACUAUGUAAUGCAAGUAAAAGCAAAUAAAGCUUAGGAUUAGUGCUGCCUUUAGAAAUUCCUGAAAAAUAAAUGCUUGUCAAUCUUAAUGGAAUGUGGUAAGCUUUUCUCAUAUCAGUGAGAACGAGAGAACUAUUUACCCCAUGAGAGGGGUAUUUAUAUUGGGAUAAGCACAUAGGCUUGAAUAUGGAAAGAAGGUAUCUCAAACUGAGAGAAGCUGAAAUUUUCAUGGAAGACUCAAAGUUGUGCUAAAGCAGCAAAAUUUGCUUGAAAACAAAGCCUUAUGUAAUCACUUGAACUUCAGUGCCUUUUCUGUAUUGUUAUUAAUGCUAAUCAUUCGUGAUAGCUCAAAGUAUUACACGGUUUGCUUUACAAAAUAUUAAUUUCACAUAUUGGUAAAGGAGGAGAAAAUGAGUAAUUAAGAUAAUCUAUGCAUUAUUGCCAAGCCAUACAGAAUUGUUUUUCAAGUGGCGUUAGAAGUAACCGUUAAAACAACGAAGUUUUGAAGUGUAUUUUGGUUCAUAAUUGUUCAACUGUGUUUGUAUAACAUGUUUCAUUUAAUAAUUUGAAGUGUGAAUCACAGUAAGCAUACACAUAUGUAUAUGUAUGCUCCGUUUAACAUGUAAAUUAUUGUUAGAAUAUUUUUAUUGGUUGUUGUUGCCCUUUUAGUGCCUUAUUCUGAGAAUUCUUUUACUGCCAUGUCAAAUGAGUUUAGAAAUUUAAAAUACCUAUUGCUGUUGUCAGUAGUUUUAUUGAUUGAAGUAUUGUAGGAUCUAGCUCCAUUUUCAGUUGUACAAUCUUGAAUAAAACUGUUGGUUACCACAAGAUAAUUUAAUCAUAAUACAAAUAGUAAUAAACACUUUUACAGUGAAAACAAGUUAAAUCUCUUAACAUGUUAAAAUUCCAGGUAAUACAGGAGUUGAAUACUUUUUAAAUUUUUGUCUUGUAGCAGGAAUAUUAUGGUAUUAACCGUAUGAUUUAUUUUAUUUCUUAACCAAAUACCUCUUUAGUAAUUUAUAAUGGCUUUGCAGUUAUGUAUUAAAUAAGAAGCACUGGAAAAAAUGAUUCGUCUUCAUGGCGAUUUGCAUGUUUCAAGUGGUGUUGAAAGCCUUAGCAAUAGAUAUGUAAUAAGCAUAUCUGUUAAUCCAGCAGUUAUGACUCGUGCUCAUUUAAUACAAAAUAAAACUAAUUUAUGAAAUAAUUAUUUUGAAAAUGACUGUGGUAUUUUCUCCAGAAUACAGUUCCUAGGAAGUUUUGUUAUACUUUACAGAUGACCAACUGUUAGCAUAUUUAAAUCUGAUGCUACUUGAUAAUUUUUUUAAAAUUAAAUUUUUAUAAUGUCAUACUACAUUUUAAUACAGGGUAAAAUAGUAGAAAUCGCAUAGGAUAUUAAAGUACUUGUUUUGAUAAUUAAAUUGUUAAAACCAUUUACUAAGCACAUAAUGAUUUCCAUCAGAAGCCUUAUACCAGGUACACAGCUCUUACAAUAUUAUAUUUACAUGAAUUUUACUUUAUGCAUAAACCAUCAUUGUUAAUAAAAACAUGUUACAUUGAUUUCUGCCAUCUGGAAAUCAAUGGUAUUGCUCUGUUACUAUAUACAAAUAAUAUGGACUCUAGCAAAGCUUAGGUGGGUAAUAAGAAUUGAGAGAAGAUUGACAAUGAAUGCUGAAAAGUUAAAAGAGGUUAGGAAAGUGUAGUUAAAGAAGGCCAGAGAAAUUUGAAUUUGUCAAAGCGGUCUGAGAAAAGAGGAGAGUGUUUGAGAUAAGAAGGCAAAAGACUGUGGGAUGACUGACAUGUAGUAUGAGAAGAUCAGCAAGUGGAAAGAAGGAACGGGGGGAGGACUUGUGUGCUUGAGAUAGUACAAAGCCAAAGAGAUGGGACUAAUAGGUAUAGAACUUUAAAGUUUUGUUAACUGAUUCAGAGCUUGGAAAAGGGUCCACAGAUUGGUUAGACAGACUGAUAGUCUAGAGCAGGGAUGUCAAACUCAUGGCCCACAGGCCGGAUGUAUCAUGCACUGGUCACCCCACCCCUGGUUUAGCAAAGGGGAGAAAAGUUGCAAUACAUCACGUGACGAUAUGACACUGCGAGUUUGACACCUCUGGUCUAUAGUGAAGAAGAAACUUACCUCGAGAAAAAACUGAGAAGAUAACCAAGGAUAUGGCUACUGAAUUUGUUUGCUUCAUGGUUAAAACCAGCAGAGUGAAAAGAUAUGGAAUAUUUUGAGUUUGAAUUGCUCUACAGUAUUCAAAAUGGAAAACAGCUGCCCAAGCUGUAGUACAAGAGUUCUGAUCACAAUGGUACCAUUUUGAAUUGGAAACAUUUUGUCAGAAUAAGGGCAGAAUGUUUCUAAUAAGGUUCAGAACAACCCAUUUCAAUCUUGAAUUGUUUUAUAUUCUUCUAAUUAAAACUUUAAAAUUAAGGGGUUUUUAAAAAGAAAAAUGACUGUUUCCAUUAAGACAAAAUAGAAUAAGUUUGAUUUUAAAAAAAGAAGGUAAAAACGUUACCUGUAAACGUGCAGUUUUCAAUGUUCUUACCAUUAUUUACAAUUUCAGUAAAUGGGAUGAGUGAUACCUAACAGGAAGACAGAAAUAAUCUAAACAAUGCAUACCCAAAUAGUAGCUUAAUAACACCAGAACUGACAUAGAAUUAUAUAUUAUAGGGAGAGGUAUAUUAAUGCAGAACAAUAUUAGCCCAUCUAUGGAAUGUUGCCAUGCAUUCUGGAGAAUUAUGCCUAAGCCCAAAAUUUAGAGUGCUCAAUUUGUUCAAUCUCCAGGGGCUAUUUUUUAUAACAUUGAAGAAUUCAUUCCUGUUAUGUGUAAUUGUAAACAACUAAUCAUGCCUGGUUGUGAAUUUGGUGUUAAGUCCCUCCCUGCAGUGUCAGUAAAAUAUGUUUUAAUGCAACAAUUUCAUCUGUAUAAUGUAUCAUAUUCUGUAUUUUUAGUACUGUUAAAUUUUCAUUUUGAUGGUUGGUUCUUUGGUAUUCCUCAACCCAUAUGUAUAUAUUUGCCACCUUAUAAAUCCAUGUCAUGAAUCAUUUGGAGUAGCUGUUGCCUGUAAAACAUUAUGCUGCAAUAAAAUAAACCAAUGAAUCUUUGAAUUGCCAAGAAAGUUGUUUUAGUGCUCUAUG